This is a non-coding RNA of Rattus norvegicus (Norway rat), 4736 nucleotides long. The record is from RefSeq and is a predicted model, not a curated record. NCBI's taxonomy places the organism in Eukaryota, Metazoa, Chordata, Mammalia, Rodentia, Muridae.
GGGCUGUGGACUGGGGUGGUGGCGAGGAGGGACUACCAGGGAAGGUUACAGAGCAGCCCAGGGUGAACAGACCUGGUCUGGGAAGGGAUUCAAAGGACACCCUGGAAGGGUCACUCUCACAGCUGGUGGUGCUGGGUUGAAACAGCCAGCCCAGUAGUCCUGUGCUGCUGGACUGUGGAAAGGAGGUGGGGCCGAGGCUGAGCGUUGCCUACAGGUUCUCUUGCCUGCUCUUCCCUUCCAGAGAGCCUAGCAGAGUGGAUGGGACAGUCGUGGGCAGCAGCUCGGAAACAGACUUUCAAGCUACCAGCAGGGAGAAAGAACCUGUGACAUAGGCCUUCCCUUCUUCAGGCAGCUCGGCUUUGGGGACUGCAACCCAUCAGCUCUGACAGCUCAGUCCUUGCUGGUUCACCUCCCAUCCCAGGAGGAUGCUGUGUGGCUGGAGGCAGCAGCAGGAGGGAAAGCAGGAGAAGCAGUCAUGGAGAAGGUGGCAGAAGACAGUUCCCUAGACAGCAGGAUCCCAGCGCCGUUCCACUUCAGUGGAGGGAGAGAAAGGAUGAGAGACGCAGCGGCUGAGGGAACCACGGUUGAGGGAGGAGGAACCCACUGACAGGAGCUGGCUCAGGGGUGUUCACUGGCAGAUCUGUGGGAGCUGCUCAAGUAGGGCAGGAGUCCAUCUUCACAGGGAUUUGGCUCUUGCCCUGAAGGGAGCCUCACAGAUUCCAGACGGCUGCACAAGUCAAAGCAUCACGCCUCUACAGUGUCCCAGAGCCAGGAGAGAGGCUGUUGUUUUUAAAGGCAAGAAGAAUUCCCCAAACUUGGCCAGAAUCGGAGACAAGAUGGAGGGAGAACCACUUUCCAGGCCGGCCACCGACAUGCCCGCGUACAGACACACUUCCUGUGAAACCACGGAUGCAGAUGCUCCAAGCGUAAGCAGCCAGCGUCUUGGAGGUUUCACCAGCCCUCCUUCCUGAUCUUGUUAAUAAAAUCCAAGGUUCCCUUUGCAGUGAAGAAGGGAACACCAAUACUGUAUAGACGGCUUUCUUGCUGUGGGUUUCAUAAACCACAUCUUUCUCAAAUCCUGUCAGUGACUUCCCCAGCCUGGCAGGCUGGCUGACUAAAUUCCCCCUGUGCACUCCGAGGUUGGGUCUCACGGCCCUGGGGUGAGAGUCAGCCUGCCUGCUCUGACACUUAGCACUAGGCCGUGGCACUUCAUGAGAUAGCGGUAAUCUGCACUUGUAGAUCUUGUAGCAUGGCUAAGGGAGUACAGGAGACUCAGCCGCACCGGGUGUGAAUGAAAUCACAGUAACAUUAGCUCUCCGUGCUGAGCAGCUCUGUCCUUGGCUGGUCAUUCAGGAAUCCUGAUGCAGUCUUUGAAGUUUCUCCAGUGACUUCUGGACUGCCUACACGGUUGCCUCUCAUGUACGCUCAGGCGCAAGGCCUUUGGAGUUUGCUCCAGCCUCUUGGCCACUGCCUAGCGGACUGCGGGUACCCUUGUGUGUCUGUGUCGGUUCCACAAUAUAUAACUGAGUUGUGUAGGAGAAACUGUGCCCUGUCAGGUAUGAAACCCACAGAGACCCGCAGGCAGAGUGAGGUGCUAGGCCUGUCUGCACACUGGGUGGCAAUUAGCCUGCAGCCCUGAGAGAGCGGGAGGAUCCCAAAGCCAGACACCAAGUGGCUCCAGCAGAUGCUUGUUCUCAACUCACUCUGCCACCGUGUGGCUCAAACCAACAAAGCGGGUGGCCGAUGUCCUUGUGUCAACGUUUCUUAUUAGUCUCCAACCACCUCUGCAAAGACAGAACACUGCAGCUGGGGACAUGGCUCGGUUGGGUUGGUAAAGCAGCCGUUGCACAAGAAGGGGACACUAGGCCAGAUCCGUAGCACUCAUAGAAGAAGCUAGAUGUAGAGGCUCAGUGGCUGAGAGCAUUUGCUCUUCUAUAGGGUUCAGGUCCUAGUCUCAGACACCAAACGGCACCUAACGACUGUGAUCCUAGUUCCAGGGGUAAUCUGACACCCUCUUCUGGCCUCCGCAGGCACCAAGUGCACAGUCGUACAUGCAGGCAAGCCCUCCCCCCCCCCCCCACACAGAGUAAGUAAACAGACAGACAGAGCACCAGAAGGAGGUGGGAACAGGGUCUGUAGUCUGGGCUCCGGGAAAGCAGAGACAGAAGGAUGCCUGGAGCUCCCUGGCCAGUCAGCAGAGCUAAUCAGCAAGCUCUAGGCUUAGUGAGAGACUUUUGACUGAAAGCCUCAAGUGGAGAGUGACUGGGAAAGACACUACAAAUUGAUGUCUGACCUCCACGUGCACCCACAUGCUCACACAUGUGCACUUGCACACACAUUCCUACCCCCACACAAUACAUUUUUUUUUUUUGGUUCUUUUUUUCGGAGCUGGGGACCGAACCCAGGGCCUUGCGCUUCCUAGGUAAGCGCUCUACCACUGAGCUAAAUCCCCAGCCCCCACACAAUACAUUUUUAAAGACACACAAACCCUCCUCUGUUUUACUUUCCCCCCUGAGAAGAGGAGUUCUUACACGUAGUAGAUCAAUUCACUCGGCACACGUAGCAGCUGAAUGGUAAAAGCACAAACUCUGUAGGUUAAGAUGAAACGGAGUCUGCAAAAUACCGGGGUGACUUUAAACAGCACCCUCUGUCAGACGGGAUAGUCACGGGGCUUCAUAGGGAGGAUUAAAGGGACGGAAACAGUGAACAGCCCAUAAAGUAUCGACUACUGUUAUUAUCGUGUCUGCAGAAUACAAGUUUCGCAAGCGGCUUUAGGCAGAUUCUUCAGAAUUCCCUCUGCAAGUCUCACACGCAAGAACUUAGCGUGCUGGGAGAAAACACAUUCUUCCUGUCAGUAUUCGACAAAAUAAUCUGUUUUCAAGGGUAAGAUAGAAAAUUCAAGGGCCUGUGAGCUUCCUGAAUACAUUAAUGAUUAUUUCCUCGGAACGUUCUGUGACAGGACACAGCCAAGCACUAAGCUCAGAACUGUGAGGGAAUUAAAAAAGAAAAUAUUAAGAGAGGCCCCCUGCUACUGGAGUACUCACAAUCAAAAUAAAGGAGAGAAAUAUAUGCGGAUAUGGUCAUUAAGAGUAUGUGUCUGUAACAGAAUUCCACAUUUGAAAGAUGAUACAGGUUAAAUGCUCCAGAGUCCCGAUGGAGGAGAAUGGGGUUAGGGUCAUCUAUAAAAGUCUCUCGGUCUUGCAAAUUUAAACUUGGCCUCUAAAUGGGUGUAAGUUCUGGCCCUACCUUGACGUUUCCUAUGAUUUAAAAACGGAGCCAAGAUGCUUCGUGCAAAAUGAUACUCCAAACGAACGACGCAGGAUCGAGAGGCUAAGAAAACAACGGCCGUGAAGGGGGAAGGGGUCCCUCAUUCAGGAAUUCUGUCAAGUCUCUUGUCAAAAGAGAAGCAAGAAUUCUGGUGUAAUUAACAACUGCUGAAGGCCCUUUCACCCUUCCCAGAUAUUAAAUUACAAUUUUCAGCGACUCACACCAGAUCCUCACCCCCAUGCAACCCCUAGUGACUCCAAUUCCACCCAAAGUUUCUCUGGGGCCAGCACACUCAUUUCACUUACCAAGAUAGCAAGAAAGCCGGGAAGGGGAUGUCGCCUAGCAACCUUUUAAGAUGCAACUCGGAUGCUACCAGAAUAGUAUACAAGGCUAACGCUAAGGCUAAUUGCAACUCUCCCUUGGGUCCAUUCCCACACUGGGAUAAUGCAUUCUCCCUGAGCGCCUCUCUUUCUCCUAAUCCUCACACUAGAUGCCCCCAUUAAAAUGAUUGUUAUCUCCCAAGUUAUACUGGCUAUUCCUCACUGCUGUUUUCAUAGUGCCACAGGCAGGAGAAUACCUGCUGCUGCUGACGGUCGCCCCAGCGGCUCUCGAGCGCCCCCUGCCGCCUGCACCCGCUCUCGCCCCGUCUUAAAAGCCUCGGUCGAUUUUCUGGGAGUCUCCCUAGACUUCACGAAGGAACCAAGCCAAAUGACGCCUCUCCACCCCAGAUAAAAUUUGCAGCACAAUUAAUAAUGAGCCUCGGUUUCCUCAUCGGUCCCUGAAAAUCUUCGAACAUUCUCCACUUCCCCAGCCUUAAGCCGGGGACCGCCGAAGUGCUCCACAGACCAAGCAUCUCACCCCGACCCUCUGCUGCCCCUGGUGGCUGCCACCAUCUUACCCUUUUUCUUCACUCAGGCUGAGGUGAGACGACCCACUCUCGGCAACGGUAGCUUUAGAACUACAUUUCCCAUUGAGCGUUUCUUAACAUCGCGAGAGUUCUAGCGAGACUUGGGGGGGGGGGAAGACUGCGCGCAAGCGCAAUCUCGUUCUUUCCGAGGUCCUCUGCCGCGUGCACUAAAGUUAUGGCCGGUCCUGUCCGUGGUUCACUCUCUGAAAGGCCUAGGGUUUGGGUGAUGGCACGCCAUUGCACAUGGGACGCAAGCCGCAGGUUCCAUUUCAGAAGUAAUGGCUGGAUCCCUGGAAGCAGAUGGACUCGGUGUGGUUAGAGGGCAGAGGUAGAUGAUGCUGCGUAUUGAGCCCUCCUCAGCCCACUUUGAUUGAGGUGUUGCGCGGUGAGGAAGGGCCUUCGUGACCAGUCUGCAUGGGGGAGGCUGAACCAUAGUUUCUGGGCCUUCAAGGGGUGUUGCUGCAGCCACGGGGGCAGCCCUCCUGCGCCUGGACUUCUGCCUGCGAGCAGAGGAGCUUCCACACACAGCUCGUCAGAGCAUCCGUGCUUCUGCGCUAAGUGG